This is a long non-coding RNA of Callorhinus ursinus (northern fur seal), 2064 nucleotides long. RefSeq lists it as uncharacterized. The record is from RefSeq and is a predicted model, not a curated record. Lineage: Eukaryota; Metazoa; Chordata; Mammalia; Carnivora; Otariidae.
AGAAGACAACGAGCUCAAAUGUGAUCUCCCAAGUCCUGGGGGCUGCUUUGCUUCCCCUGUCCAGACACACCCUCACCUCGUCGUGGGCUCCUUUUGGAAAAAGGCGGAACCUCAUUGUACUCCGGGGCCCCCCCACUGCUGUCCUCUCUGUUCCUACCGGAGACCUGGCCAUGCUCUAUUGCCAGGGGAUAGAAUGCAGAGGCCCAGUGUGACCCCAACGCCUUCUUCAAGGGCCCAGAUCCCUCCCUUUCAAACCAGAACUCCCAGGGGCCAGUGGCACCACAAUGGACAGAGUGGAGGGGGUGCUUACCUUCUCAGGAAGCAGGGUACUGAGUCUUGGGGCUUCAGGCUGCUGAGCCAUGUGCUACAGACACCAUGGUGCAAGGGACCUUGGCCAUCUGCAAGGACAACACAGACUUGACCAACAUCAUCCCCCACCGCCCCCAUCCCAGGGGGCGAAUUGUCCCAGAGGCUCCCCCCAGACCAAUGAGCCUCCUGGGAGUGUCCACUCAGGCUCCCUGUGGGCUUUAGGGAGGGGGCAAUUCUUCUCCCGGUUCUGUGGUCCACCCUCUAUGCAGCCAGAGCUGGGGAAAGCUGAAAGGUGCAUCAAGAGUGGGCCAGCUUCUCCUUCUGCCACUCCAGGAACAGUCUCAGAGAAGGCAUGUGUACAAGGUCACUCAGGUAGCAGUAAAAUCAGAUGACAGCUCAGCUUCCCUGACUCCUACUCUAAUGCUCCUUCCAAGAGUUUCCCCAGGGACCCUCCCGGCCCACCACUCAGCUCCGAUGGCAGUCAAUGCGCCACCGUCUUCAUGAGGUAAAGCCCUUGCUGGUAGGAGCUCUGAGCGAUGGACAGCUUCCUGAGCAUUCUGGUCUGCUCUGACACCCUGCCUCCCUGGGGGCCCCUCCUGGGCCUGUGGAAACCCCCACUUGCUCCAGGUUACAUUCCCUUCCCAAAGGCCCGGCAUUUAAAGCUAUCCCAACCAACCUGAGAAGAACUCCCUUUUUCCCUCUGAAUGGGAUCUGGCUCUCACAAGAUGUACCCACCUCCCCUCUCGCUGUCUGAGCCCUGAAACUUGACCUGCGAAGAUGUUGUCCAGCAGAGCAGGCAGAGUCUGCCCAUCAUCUGGAAACUGCGUGACCGUGCUAUGCACGCAGCUUUGCCAACCCAGGCAGUGCUCAGUUACAGAGGGCAGGACAAGGGCACAGUCCAUCCAGUGUAGUAGCCAAGUCCAAGUAGACAAGGUUUUGGACCUCCCAGUCUCUGUUAGCCCAUCCCCUAUCCUCUGCCCUCAUAGCACCCCGUGCUUCUUAGCACCCACAUCAUGACAACUGCCUAUUUUGAUGAGUCUCUCUUCACUACCCCCUCUAGACGGGAAGCUCCACGAGGUCAGAAGCUACAAGUGCUGUGUUUCCACGCCCACCAUCAUGGCAAGCACAGAGAGAUAUGAAAUAAGCCAUCACUGAGUGAGUGAGCAAUCAAGGCAUCAUCAACCCUGCACCCGGCUAGACUAUCAGGAGAGCUCCACCAGGAGGGUGGUGCGGCUGGAGAAGGGAAAAAGAAGCCUCUGGUGACGCCACCAGGAUUUCCUCCCGAGCUCCCUGAUGGGCGGGCUGACUUUGCCAGGAAAUGUGCCCUGUUUUCAUUUUCCUUCUCAGUUCGGGCAAUGUCCUUCCCUGCCAAAAAUGUUCUUGAAAGUUCUUAAGAAAGAGCCAAAUGGUUUGAGUUUCUCUUUGCCCGCCGCCCUCCACCUUUGGUGAAAGGGUUUAGUGACAAAGGACGGUAGUAAAGCAGAUGCCUAGUUCUUAAGCUGGAAGACUGGCCCGCAGUUAAUGGAGACCAGACCUAAAGGCACCGAAGGUCACAGGGGUUACCGGCCAAGCUGGUCCUACCCAUGACAUCAUGGCUAAUGCCAGUGCACACUUCUCUCCUUUCAAAGACUGACUUGCUCUGGUCCUUCCUUCAUUAUAUUAAACCUGUGGAACAUCACCCAAGCAGCCCCGCGGUCUCCCCUACCUGGACUGGGGACUCUGUAGAUUCCGUUGUGAUUUGAGCCUCAGGGUGAA